AUGGACCUACGCCUACGGCAUAUCUCAUCUUCUCCUGCUACUCGUGCCCUGUUUCACGUGUCUCGUGUACUACACGACAGCAGGGAAAAAAAGAACAUAGCUGCAUAUUGUAUGAAGGAUGAUGCGGUGAAUCAGGUUAUGAUUUGUGUGGGUGAAGACUUAAAACACCCACCCAAUCACCAACGGAUCGAGGGUUCUAUGGCCAAGGUUGUAGCUGCUGUGUUGAUCAUCCUUGGUUUGGAACUGGAAUUCCGACACUGGUCGCCGAGUUUGUACGAGGCGAAAUGCCCAACAAUGGCUAGUAAUAAAGCCUUGCUUUAA
RNAcentral lists this ribosomal RNA (321 nucleotides) under Triticum aestivum (bread wheat). RNAcentral's name for it is "partial small subunit ribosomal RNA". Lineage: Eukaryota; Viridiplantae; Streptophyta; Magnoliopsida; Poales; Poaceae. The record is from RNAcentral.